UGCCUCCUUGAUAUCCUUAAUUGAAGGC
This 28-nucleotide non-coding RNA is filed under the name Mus musculus (house mouse). Lineage: Eukaryota; Metazoa; Chordata; Mammalia; Rodentia; Muridae. The record is from RNAcentral.